UUAAGUAAGUUGUAUUAUACUACAUCUUACUAAGCUGUUUUUAAUAAGCUGUCUUCUAUUAUGUUAUUUGAAGAAGUAAACGUUUAUUCAGCCGUAAGUUGUUUUCUAAUAAGCACAACUGCAAAUUGUUGGUAUAGUUGUUACCUAGCUAGCUAGCAUUGCUACAGAGAACCUACACUAACAACUGCUAGCUACACAAGGACCUCUGGACCAGGUGUUCUUCAGGGCUUUAACAUUUUUCACCAUUCUCCUGUGACUCUUCAAUAGCCAGUCACGCCAACUGAAGUACCACUAAAGGACAUAUGAAGGGAGGAGUUCAGCACUCACUGCGCUGGUGACUGACAGGAAGCGGUCAUAGCUGAUGAGGACGAUGCUGAAGACUGACGCGGAGCAAAGCAGGUAGUCCAUUACCAGCCACAGCUUACACAGUCCUCUGCCCAGUGUCCACCUUCCAGUCAGGAUGUAGGGGAUGUAUACCGGGAUGCAGAAUGCUCCUGAAUGCAGGAGUGCUUUUUUGUUAGAACAGGCGGUUAACAUGUGUGCAAAAGUAACACAAUACUUAAGUUUAAAUAAAGGUAAUUCUAGGUACAGCACUAAUGAGAUCCUUUACCAACUGUUGCAAAAUG
This is a long non-coding RNA of Entelurus aequoreus (snake pipefish), 626 nucleotides long. RefSeq lists it as uncharacterized. Lineage: Eukaryota; Metazoa; Chordata; Actinopteri; Syngnathiformes; Syngnathidae. The transcript has 3 exons. The record is from RefSeq and is a predicted model, not a curated record.